Molecule: ribosomal RNA, 253 nt
Filed under: uncultured bacterium
Lineage: Bacteria
Description: partial 16S ribosomal RNA
Rfam family: Bacterial small subunit ribosomal RNA
Source: RNAcentral
UACGGGGGGGGCAAGCGUUGUUCGGAAUUACUGGGCGUAAAGGGCGCGUAGGCGGCCCUCUAAGUCAGACGUGAAAUCCCACGGCUCAACCGUGGAACUGCGUCUGAUACUGGAGGGCUUGAAUCCGGGAGAGGGAUGUGGAAUUCCAGGUGUAGCGGUGAAAUGCGUAGAUAUCAGGAGGAACACCGAUGGCGAAGGCAGCUGUCUGGCCUAACACUGACGCUGAGGUGCGAAAGCGCGGGGAGCGAACGGG